GUAGUCAUAUGCUUGUCUCAAAGAUUAAGCCAUGCAUGUCUAAGUAUAAGCAAUUAUACCGUGAAACUGCGAAUGGCUCAUUAAAUCAGUUAUCGUUUAUUUGAUAAUACCUUACUACAUGGAUACCUGUGGUAAUUCUAGAGCUAAUACAUGCUUCAAGGAGUGGCUUUCGUCACUCUGCACUUAUUAGAUAAAAAACCAAUGCCCCUUUGAGGCUCCUUGGUGAUUCAUAAUAAUUUAGCGGACCGCAUUCCCUCGAGGAGGCGGUGGAUCAUUCAAAUUUCUGCCCUAUCAACUUUCGAUGGUAGGAUAGUGGCCUACCAUGGUUUCAACGGGUAACGGGGAAU
This 347-nucleotide ribosomal RNA is filed under the name uncultured Ascobolus. RNAcentral's name for it is "SSU rRNA". It matches the Rfam family "Eukaryotic small subunit ribosomal RNA", at positions 20 to 370 of the family's 1831-position model. The record is from RNAcentral. Lineage: Eukaryota; Fungi; Ascomycota; Pezizomycetes; Pezizales; Ascobolaceae.